GACGAACGCUGGCGGUGUGCUUAACACAUGCAAGUCGAACGGUAAGGCCCUUUCGGGGGUACACGAGUGGCGAACGGGUGAGUAACACGUGAGUAACCUGCCCUCAUCUCUGGGAUAACAGUCGGAAACGGUUGCUAAUACUGGAUAUGAGCUUGCAAGGCAUCUUGUGGGUUGGAAAGAUUUUUUUUGGUUGGGGAUGGACUCGCGGCCUAUCAGCUUGUUGUUGAGGUAGUGGCUCACCAAGGCUUCGACGGGUAGCCGGCCUGAGAGGGCGACCGGCCACAUUGGGACUGAGAUACGGCCCAAACUCCUACGGGAGGCAGCAGUGGGGAAUAUUGCACAAUGGACGGAAGUCUGAUGCAGCAACGCCGCGUGCGGGAUGACGGCCUUCGGGUUGUAAACCGCUUUCAAUUGUGACGAAGCUUUUUUGUGACGGUAGCAGUAGAAGAAGCACCGGCUAACUACGUG
RNAcentral lists this ribosomal RNA (468 nucleotides) under uncultured bacterium. RNAcentral describes it as "partial 16S ribosomal RNA". It matches the Rfam family "Bacterial small subunit ribosomal RNA", at positions 28 to 507 of the family's 1533-position model. The record is from RNAcentral.